RNAcentral lists this long non-coding RNA (269 nucleotides) under Homo sapiens (human). RNAcentral's name for it is "non-protein coding LINC01588:80". The record is from RNAcentral. Lineage: Eukaryota; Metazoa; Chordata; Mammalia; Primates; Hominidae.
AUCAGGGGAAGCACCAAACAUCCUCAACUCUGCUCACCCAUGGUUUUCUCCCGCCCUCCCAGAGCUCCUCCUGCUGAUGGGCCCCCGACAUGAAACUGGCACUCAGAAUGAAGAAUGCCUUUUCCAGCCUCCCUCGCUGGUGGAGUCUCCGUGUUCCAGCCAAUGAAAGGAGGAAGCCUGGACAGCCUGCAGUUGAGGGGACCUGCACAAGCUCACAGGACUCUUCAUCACCAUGACACCACGCUCACCGCAAAAUAAAAAUGAUCAAA